GCCAGCAGCCAUAUCACCCUGCAACCCACAACUGGCUUUAAAGCUAAGCAGAUGAGAGCCUGGUCAGUACCUGGAUGACAGACCUCCUGGGAAAAACUAAGGUUGCUGCUGGAA
This 114-nucleotide ribosomal RNA is filed under the name Lepisosteus oculatus (spotted gar). Lineage: Eukaryota; Metazoa; Chordata; Actinopteri; Semionotiformes; Lepisosteidae. The record is from RNAcentral.